Molecule: ribosomal RNA, 504 nt
Filed under: uncultured bacterium
Lineage: Bacteria
Description: partial 16S ribosomal RNA
Rfam family: Bacterial small subunit ribosomal RNA
Source: RNAcentral
AUUGAACGCUGACGGCAGGCCUAACACAUGCAAGUCGAGCGGUAACACAGGGAGCUUGCUCCUGGGUGACGAGCGGCGGACGGGUGAGUAAUGUCUGGGAAACUGCCUGAUGGAGGGAGAUAACUACUGGAAACGGUAGCUAAUACCGCAUAACGUCGCAAGACCAAAGAGGGGGACCUUCGGGCCUCUUGCCAUCCGAUGCGCCCAGAUGGGAUUAGCUAGUAGGUGGGGUAACGGCUCACCUAGGCGACGAUCCCUAGCUGGUCUGAGAGGAUGUCCAGCCACACUGGAACUGAGACACGGUCCAGACUCCUACGGGAGGCAGCAGUGGGGAAUAUUGCACAAUGGGCGCAAGCCUGAUGCAGCCAUGCCGCGUGUAUGAAGAAGGCCUUCGGGUUGUAAAGUACUUUCAGCGGGGAGGAAGGCGAUAAGGUUAAUAACCUUGUCGAUUGACGUUACCCGCAGAAGAAGCACCGGCUAACUCCGUGCCAGCCGCCGCCGUAA